ACUUAAAAUCACACGAAUUAAAUAUGAGAUGAAAGAAAAAUAUUCAUUUAAGAAUAAGAGGAUUUAUACAACUUCAAGAACAAAAUUAAAGAUACAAAACCCUUAUUUCUCUGUUAGAGCCCUAAUGAAGGAAUUAAGCUUCCAUGGCAGCAGCACUGCAGUGGUCUCCCAUCACGGCUGCCUCCUUUCUUUCUCCGCCUUCUCCCUCCUUCUCUCUCUCUCUGACUUAUUUGAAAACUCAGCGAUAGGAAGAAGCUCGGUCUGAUCAGAAAAGAAUGCCCCUAGCCUUCACGUAUCGACUCCCUUUUAUAGCCUACCCACCUUUCUCUACUCCCCUCUUUCGAGGAUGCAGAGAUUGAGCUGAUCCGGUCGUUGGAACAGGGAGCUGAUCACGUUGAAGGAGUCGACGCUAUUCCUUGGAUGCAGGGGAUGAUGUGGAUGCUGGAACGGUGCUCACGGUUGAGAGGAGAUAAGGAUGAAUCACGGAGAAGACGCGGGAGGUUGCUGCGAGCUGGAACUCGUCUGUGGCUGGGAUAACAAUCAGUGGAGCUGGGAUGAAGCUUGGACGGCUGGAUAGCUCAUGCUGAAGAAUAGAUGCGAUCUCUUGGCAUGCAUCGCGGGAGAAAAUGGGGCACGGCGGACAGCUAGGAUGCUGGGACGUCGCUGACCAUGGGAGAUCUUGGGAAUUGGCUGGAUUCAUGCGGAUGGUGGACAUGAUCCGAAACAUUGGUGAUGCGGCUUCAACGCAGAGGAGAUGUGGACGUUUGAGAGGAUCUCAGAGGGAUGAGAUGGCUGGGAGUGAGCUGGGAGCAGGGGAUGCGGAAUAAGCUGGGAAUCUGGUUGGAUGCGGGAUAAGGAUAGAUCACGAACGGAAGCACAGAGGAAGCGGAUGGGAUGAAGUUUAGCUUGAUUCGGAAGAGAAGAUCCGGGAGAUAAUCUAUGGAAUCAGUCUAAAAUGACGGGAGAAAGUUGGGAUUCGUUGGAUUCAUCGCGGUUGGCUGGAAUGAGCAUGGAUAGGCUGGCACUCUGUUCCGAAGCAGGGGAUAAGGAUGCAAGGCUGGAUUCGUGAGCGUGGAUAGGCUGGUUCUCAUCCGAAAGUUGGGAAAGAUGUGGAGGAAAUGCGGAGAGGAUGGAACGAACGGGAUGAAGGGGAUUCGGAUAAGGAAGGGGCACACGGGAUGCUGAGAUUUGUUCGUGAACGGGAGGAAUCCGAAACGAGAGGAAGGUUGGAU
Molecule: long non-coding RNA, 1232 nt
Filed under: Phoenix dactylifera (date palm)
Lineage: Eukaryota; Viridiplantae; Streptophyta; Magnoliopsida; Arecales; Arecaceae
Description: long non-coding RNA (PDAC_LNC011169)
Source: RNAcentral